Molecule: transfer RNA, 85 nt
Filed under: marine eukaryotic metagenome
Rfam family: tRNA
About the family: Transfer RNA (tRNA) molecules are approximately 80 nucleotides in length. Their secondary structure includes four short double-helical elements and three loops (D, anti-codon, and T loops).
Source: RNAcentral
GAGAGGUGACCGAGUGGCCGAAGGUGCUUGAUUGGAAAUCAAGUGUGCGGGCAACCGUACCGAGGGUUCGAAUCCCUCUCUCUCC